Pogoniulus pusillus (Red-fronted tinkerbird) is the source of this 1075-nucleotide long non-coding RNA. RefSeq lists it as uncharacterized. The record is from RefSeq and is a predicted model, not a curated record. Lineage: Eukaryota; Metazoa; Chordata; Aves; Piciformes; Lybiidae. The transcript has 2 exons.
CCUGGCAGGAGGGUGGCCUGGCUGCGCGGCGCCAACGCUUUCACCUUCUCCUCGGCUGAAGCGGAGUCAACAGCAAACUGAACAGAAUCUAACAGUGUGACCUUAAUUUGCCCAUCUCACCCUCUGGUUUCUGUUGUCCUCUUUUCAUUCCCAAGAACAAAAGCCACUUCUCUGCGUAGGAAUACAAAGAUUCCCAAACUCGCUUAACUCAGCCUUUGUCACAAGGCAGUCCAAAGAGUGAGAAACCCCAGGCAGGGAGCUGAUGGCUAUCCGUGGAGCUAGAGGGAAAAUCUGCACAUUGUAUUGCUGUUUAAUUCACUAAAACUUCUCCUUUACUGCUUGUGAGUGAAAACAACCAACAACAAAAUGCAGCAAAGCAAAGUCUUAACAGCUAUGCAAAUUUCUUUUUUUAAUAGAGCAAAAACCAACACCACCAAACAAACAACAACAGCAAACCCCCACCACCCCCCAGCACCACCAGGAGAAUUCUAACCAGUUUAAGUGCUGCCACUUAAGAUCUUGCCAAAGCACUGUAACUUCCAAGGAAGGAGGGAGAUGGCUUAGCUGUAGAGGGGCUGUUUGGAUAGCCUAACGAGAGCUCCAGCACCACGCCGAAGGAGCGGCGAUGCGGCGGUAGCCUCCCCGCUCGGCGCGGAUCGCAGCCUGGCUGCUCCUCCCCCCGGCAGGUACCUCCCCGCUAAGGAGCGCAGCCUCCACCUUCCCUUUGCUUCCAUCCUCUGCCCUCUGUGCUAGCUGCCCUGCUGCCGCCAGUGCAGGCAGUGGCAAUGGACACGGCGAUGUCUUCCUUCCCUCCCCGGAGCAGGAGUGGGAAUGCAGUUUGCGAGGUCUGAUGUGUAAGCCCUGUCCGUGUGUUGGCUCUUUCUUUUCUCCUUGAGCAGUAUGAUUGCUAAGGUGACUAGAGUUGUCCUGAGGUCCUUUCCAGUGGUCUGCCAGGACAUCAUCAUCAUGAAUGAAACUAUUUUUGUAUUGAUUUUUUUUUGGUUAGGAUGUAUGUUUUAACAUUCCAUUCCUGUAAAAUAUGUACAAGUACCUGUAAUAAACCUUUUGAAGCACA